AUGCGCCACCCAGUCAGCCGAGUGAUGGUAGAUCCCAGUGGAAAUGCCUCUGGCUCACUGGUUUUGGUUCAGUUUGAAGGGCUCUCGGGGCAAAAGAUAAUUGAGUUGUUGAAUCUGAAUGGGCGCCGCGAGGAGUGGAGGAUCGAGGUUGUGGGUUGCCAGCUUCAAAUUUUGGGUCUUCGCAAGGAGUUGAAGGCUGAGGUCAUGGUUGCCAGCUUCAAUUUUUUGCUGACCAAUUCCUCAAGAGUCUUGCCAAGAUCUGAGGAUGAAGGGAAGAAGAAGAAUUUAACUAAAGAGUUGAAGAAGAUGAAGCAAUGUACGGGCCAGAGACAAUCGGCGAUAAAAACGAUCUGCUUGCAAGUUCUAUAUUACCAGCGGAGGCUUUGCCAAGAGGAAGGGUAA
Molecule: ribosomal RNA, 402 nt
Filed under: Triticum aestivum (bread wheat)
Lineage: Eukaryota; Viridiplantae; Streptophyta; Magnoliopsida; Poales; Poaceae
Description: partial small subunit ribosomal RNA
Source: RNAcentral